This 435-nucleotide ribosomal RNA is filed under the name uncultured Chloroflexota bacterium. RNAcentral describes it as "bacterial SSU rRNA". It matches the Rfam family "Bacterial small subunit ribosomal RNA", at positions 929 to 1382 of the family's 1533-position model. The record is from RNAcentral. Lineage: Bacteria; Bacillati; Chloroflexota.
GCGGUGGAGCAUGUGGUUAAUUCGAUGCAACGCGAAGAACCUUACCUGGGCUUGACAUCCCGGGAAUCCCUUGGAAACAAGGGAGUGCCCUUCGGGGAACCUGGAGACAGGUGCUGCAUGGCUGUCGUCAGCUCGUGUCGUGAGAUGUAGGGUUAAGUCCCGCAACGAGCGCAACCCUCGUCGCUAGUUGUUUCUCUAGCGAUACUGCCCGUAUAACGUGGAGGAAGGUGGGGAUGACGUCAAGUCAGCAUGGCCCUUACAUCCUGGGCUACACACACGCUACAAUGGGUGAUACAACAGGUUGCGAUAGAGUAAUCUGGAGCCAAUCCCUAAAAUCAUCCUCAGUACGGAUUGCAGGCUGCAACUGCCUGCAUGAAGUUGGAGUUGCUAGUAAACGCAGGUCAGCACACUGCGUUGAAUACGUUCUCGGGCCUU